UACGGAGGGUGCGAGCGUUGUCCGGAAUCACUGGGCGUAAAGGGCGCGUAGGCGGCGCGAGCAGUCGAUCGUGAAAGUCCGGAGCUCAACUCCGGAUCGGCGGUCGAUACUCUCGUGCUUGAGCACUGUAGAGGCAGAUGGAAUUCCGGGUGUAGCGGUGGAAUGCGUAGAGAUCCGGAAGAACACCGGUGGCGAAGGCGGUCUGCUGGGCAGUUGCUGACGCUGAGGCGCGACAGUGUGGGGAGCAAACAGG
Molecule: ribosomal RNA, 253 nt
Filed under: uncultured bacterium
Lineage: Bacteria
Description: partial 16S ribosomal RNA
Rfam family: Bacterial small subunit ribosomal RNA
Source: RNAcentral